UUCGCAAUGCCCGAAAGGGUGACGAAGCGACGCCGCGUGGGUGAAGAAGGCCUUCGGGUUGUAAAACCCUGUCAGGAGUUAUGAAAUGUAAGUGCGCUAAUAUCGUGCUUAUUUGACAAAGGCUCCAAAGGAAGCCACGGCUAACUCUGUGCCAGCAGCCGCGGUAAUACAGAGGUGGCGAGCGUUGUUCGGAAUUAUUGGGCGUAAAGAGCACGUAGGUGGGUUUGCAAGUCAGAUGUGAAAGCCUUCUGUUCAACGGGAGAAUUGCAUCUGAAACUGCUAAUCUUGAGUAUAGGAGGGGAGAAUGGAACUUUUGGUGGAGCGGUGAAAUGCGUAGAUAUCAGAAGGAACGUCGGCGGCGAAAGCGAUUCUCUUGCCUAUUACUGACACUCAGUGUGCGAAAGCUAGGGGAGCAAACGGGAUUAGAUACCCCGGUAGUCCUAGCCGUAAACGAUGGGCACUAAGUAGA
RNAcentral lists this ribosomal RNA (469 nucleotides) under uncultured bacterium. RNAcentral describes it as "bacterial SSU rRNA". It matches the Rfam family "Bacterial small subunit ribosomal RNA", at positions 365 to 824 of the family's 1533-position model. The record is from RNAcentral.